RNAcentral lists this long non-coding RNA (1411 nucleotides) under Homo sapiens (human). RNAcentral describes it as "HSALNT0017419". Lineage: Eukaryota; Metazoa; Chordata; Mammalia; Primates; Hominidae. The record is from RNAcentral.
GGAGAGGAUGCCAAUAGGCACCCCAGAGGUGACAGGACAGUCUGAACCCCCACCCUGGCAGAAGGGAGCUUGACAGCUCUGGGGCUCUCUGGGAAUGUCACUGCUAAAAUGGAUAUUUAUAUAUAUAUUAACCAUUCAUGGGAGGGCAGGGGCAGGGCCUGGGGUGGGAUCGGAGGAUCUGGCAUCGCAUCCUGUAGCUGGUCAUGCCUACCUGAGAGGCCUGGAGGAAACCAAAGUGGUUUAAAACAUUUAAGUGUGCUUCUUCAGAAAAAGUUUUGUCUCCCCACGCCACUUUUUAUUUAAACUAAAAAUAAUUUCUUGUUAGUGACUGCUUUGCAUUUAGACAGAGUGAUUGAUAACAAUUUAUAGGGGAUUUUGUUGGGGUGAAAAGCACACUGACAUGCCACCGCUGUUUAUUGGAGUGCGAUUUCACGUGCAAAUGCAAAAACAUUAAAAAUGUUAUUGCUCCUUAUGUGCAUAUGCGGCAGCGCUCCUCGAGGGGGCACCAGCUGCGGGAAGUCUGUUCCUUGCAGACCCCUGACCACGCGAUGAAUGAAUAAAGUACACUGACACACAGAUAUUCUGCUCUGCCAGUCCAGCUGAGGGUCCAAGCCCCUUACAGGCUCCCUGCUGAGCCCUGUAAACAGUUGCGACUCGGCAGGGAGCCUGUAAGCACCUGGGACCCUCAGAAUAUCUGUGUGUCAGCGUACUUUAUUCACCGGUCAUUGGGUCAGGGGUCUGCAAGGGACAGACUCCCCACAGCUGGUGACCCCUCGAGAGGAGCCCUGCCCCCAGCUGGUGCCCCAUGUGAGGCGCUGUGUGAGGAACUGUGUGAGGAAUGCUGUGAAGGAAACGCGACGAACCGCCCGAAAACGAAGACAGACAGAACAGCAUGUGGAGACUCACACAGUGAAAUUUUCCUCCAAGAAGUACUGCAUGAACAUACCAGGAAAACCAAAAGAAUUCACAGGACCUUUGAAAGAAGUGGCUUGCCGCUGCAAACUCCAUGAGACAGCUGAAAAACUGGCAAAGCGGCUGAGAUCUUUGAACUCCCUUUGAACUUUGAGAAUGGUGACUGGAAGAUGACAAUUCAUGUUGUUUUCAGGAAAGCUAUGACCGAGAAACCAAGGAACUCACUAUCUUGUCCUCUUGGAUGCCAGCUAUAAAUUGAAUCAAGUUGGACACCGGAAUUUUGACCACUUUCCACCUUUCUAUCGUGGUCAGGUUUCUUCAUGAGAAGAGGAGAUUCGGUCACAGGCAUGUACAGAAGAAGACUGUGUGAAGACACAGAAGAAGUUAUCUACAAACCAACGAGAGAGGCUUCAGAAGAAACCAACAUUGUUGACACCCUGAUCUUGGAUUUCUAGACUCAGGAAUUAUGAGAAAAUAAAUUUUUAUUGUUUAAGCCACC